This 383-nucleotide RNase P RNA is filed under the name Gammaproteobacteria bacterium. RNAcentral's name for it is "RNase P RNA component class A". It matches the Rfam family "Bacterial RNase P class A". Rfam says of the family: Ribonuclease P (RNase P) is a ubiquitous endoribonuclease, found in archaea, bacteria and eukarya as well as chloroplasts and mitochondria. The record is from RNAcentral. Lineage: Bacteria; Pseudomonadati; Pseudomonadota; Gammaproteobacteria.
GGAGUCGGCCAGGCAAUCGCGAGUUUUUCGAAACUCGAGGAAAGUCCGGGCUCCACAGGACAGGGUGCCAGGUAACGCCUGGGGGGUGUAAGCCUACGGAAAGUGCCGCAGAAAACAGACCGCCUGUUGUCAUUGAUUCGGCGAUUGCCGGGGCGUGCAACCGGUAAGGGUGAAAAGGUGCGGUAAGAGCGCACCGCGCUAUGGGUAACCAUAGUGGCAGGGUAAACCCCACCUGGAGCAAGACCAAAUAGGGGAACUGGCAGCGUCAGCUGCCGCGCGUGGUCCGCGCCGUUCCCGGGUAGGUCGCUCGAGCCCCGUGGCGACGCGGGGCCUAGAUGAAUGAUUGCCCAAGACAGAACCCGGCUUAUCGGCCGGCUCCCUCC